Molecule: non-coding RNA, 1025 nt
Organism: Cinara cedri
Lineage: Eukaryota; Metazoa; Arthropoda; Insecta; Hemiptera; Aphididae
Source: the annotation of a GenBank genome assembly
UCGUCGUGUGCGCGCAUGUGUGGCGUCCGGAGUGUACGCGUGUCCGUCGCCGAGUGCGUGUGUGCUGUUUCCGUUUGUUUUUUUUACACUCUCUCUCUGUCACUCCGUCGUUUUUCCCGCGCCGGCGUGCCGUCGACGAAUUUUCGGUAUUUUUUAAUUUUCUCGAAAACCACCCGCCCGCGUUGACAGUACCGCGCGUCGUGCGAAAUCCCCGAGAUUUUACGGUUUUCCGCGGUGUCCGGUCGCAACAUCGAUAUCCGAUACCUCUGGGUCCGCGUUCCAUUCGCGCCGUGUAAUUUUUCGAGUUUUUCCGUGUGUAAACCGAGUGCGAUUUUUCCGGUUUUUUUUUUUUUUCUACGCGCCACCGACGAGCGUCGCCGUCGCCGAUUUUUCGGAUUUCUACUACACGGCGGACAAGACCAUUUUCGCACUGUCGAUAUUUUUUACUGCGAAAACGGCGGGAACCUAUACUAGUACCGCUCUCGUUUUUACGGAAUAAAUCGGUGAGUACGCCGGACAAUAAUUAUUAUCAUUAGCAACUGUGUAUCGUUACGAUAUUCGCGGUAAUAACACAGUGUCUACGUAUGCCGGAUACAUAGUAUUAACGAAUAAUGUUGGACGGGACUGUUUUCCGGGAAAAAUGAAACGGGUACCGGUUUAGCAUAAAAGUAAAAAAAAAAAAAUAAUGAAAAAUAGUACCUCCGUCGCAUUCGGCUUGAUAAUUUCCCUCCAGACGUUUCUUCGGUCUAAAGUCACGCGCGUCUGUAUAAUAUUUUCCGCCGAAUAAUAAAAUAAAAUGUGAUAAAAUUCGGUAAACCGUAAAUAUUCUUGACCGGAAUACGAAAUCGUUAUUAGGAUGGGCGCGAAAUGAAGGGAAAACGAUCAACAGCGGAGGACAACGGUCCAGAUUUAGUAUUUUUGUUUGGGUUUCUAUUUUAUUUUUUAGGAAAAUGACUAUACGGCCAAACAAUUAUUAUAGUCCCGCGCACGUGCAGCCGGUAUAAAUAAUAUUGUAUUUUAUUAUU